CCUACGUGGUGCAGCAGUGAGGAAUAUUGGUCAAUGGGAGGAAUCCUGAACCAGCCAUGCCGCGUGCAGGACGACGGCUCUACGAGUUGGAGACACGUUUUGUACCGGGGUAAAAUGCUCUACGAGUAGGGUUUUGAAAGUACGGUACGAAUAAGGAUCGGCUAACUCCGUGCCAGCAGCCGCGGUAAUACGGAGGAUCCGAGCGUUAUCCGGAUUCAUUGGGUUUAAAGGGUGCGCAGGGUGUUUUAUAAGUUCACGGUGAAAUACCGAGGCACAACCGCGGGGGUGCCUGUGAAACUGUAGGACUAGAGAUCGAGAGAAGCAGGCGGAAUGUGUAGUGUAGCGGUGAAAUGCAUAGAUAUUACACAGAACACCGAUUGCGAAGGCAGCUUGCUAGGCCUGAUCUGACGCUGAUGCACGAAAGCGUGGGGAUCGAACAGGAUUAGAUACCCUUGUAGUC
RNAcentral lists this ribosomal RNA (460 nucleotides) under uncultured bacterium. RNAcentral describes it as "partial 16S ribosomal RNA". It matches the Rfam family "Bacterial small subunit ribosomal RNA", at positions 338 to 795 of the family's 1533-position model. The record is from RNAcentral.